This 421-nucleotide ribosomal RNA is filed under the name Fusobacteriota bacterium. RNAcentral's name for it is "Fusobacteria bacterium partial 16S ribosomal RNA". It matches the Rfam family "Bacterial small subunit ribosomal RNA", at positions 355 to 776 of the family's 1533-position model. The record is from RNAcentral. Lineage: Bacteria; Fusobacteriati; Fusobacteriota.
UGGGGAAUUUUGCACAAUGGGGGGAACCUUGAUGCAGCGACGCCGCGUGAGGGAUGGAGGCCUUCGGGUUGUGAACCUCUUUCGCUCGUGUGCAAGCCGCUAUUUGGGUAGUGGUGAGUGUAGCGGGUAAAGAAGCGCCGGCUAACUACGUGCCAGCAGCCGCGGUAAUACGUAGGGCGCGAGCGUUGUCCGGAUUUAUUGGGCGUAAAGGGCUUGUAGGCGGUUUGUCGCGCCUGUCGUGUAAUCCUCUGGCUUAACUGGGGGUGUGCGGUGGGUACGGGCAAGCUUGAGUGCGGUAGGGGAGAGUGGAAUUCCUGGUGUAGCGGUGGAAUGCGCAGAUAUCAGGAGGAACACCGGUGUCGAAGGGGGGUCUCUGGGCCGUUACUGACGCUGAGGAGCGAAAGCGUGGGGAGCGAACAGG